GGAGUCUAGCACGUGCGCGAGUCAUUGGGUUUAAGAUAAUCUAUCGAUAAUCCUAAAGGCGCAAUGAAAGUAAAAGUCCGCCUCGCGCGGACCCAGGGAGGAUGGGUCGUGCACCUAACAAGUGCCGGCUCCGCACUCCCGGGGCGUCUCCACCCAUCUCGAUCGUCGUCGUUCGCGUCGUCGACGAGAGGGGGCGCACCCAGAGCGUACACGCUGGGACCCGAAAGAUGGUGAACUAUGCCUGGUCAGGACGAAGUCAGGGGAAACCCUGAUGGAGGUCCGUAGCGAUUCUGACGUGCAAAUCGAUCGUCGGAACUGGGUAUAGGGGCGAAAGACUAAUCGAACCAUCUAGUAGCUGGUUCCCUCCGAAGUUUCCCUCAGGAUAGCUGGCGCUCGCCAGAGAGCGAGUCUCAUCUGGUAAAGCGAAUGAUUAGAGGCAUUGGGGUCGAAACGGCCUCAACCUAUUCUCAAACUUUAAAUGGGUGAGAUCUCCGGCUUGCUUAAAUAGUGAAGCCGCGAGAUUACGGAUCAGAGUGCCAAGUGGGCCACUUUUGGUAAGCAGAACUGGCGCUGUGGGAUGAACCAAACGCCGAGUUAAAGCGCCCAAAUCGAAGCUUAUGGGACACCAUGAAAGGCGUUGGUAACUUAAGACAGCAGGACGGUGGCCAU
This 669-nucleotide ribosomal RNA is filed under the name Bolbocaffer sp. BMNH 793035. RNAcentral's name for it is "eukaryotic LSU rRNA". It matches the Rfam family "Eukaryotic large subunit ribosomal RNA", at positions 670 to 1255 of the family's 3401-position model. The record is from RNAcentral. Lineage: Eukaryota; Metazoa; Arthropoda; Insecta; Coleoptera; Geotrupidae.